CACCAGGUCAUCCAGGCCCCAGCGCAGUGCGGCGCAGGAGCCCCAGGGACUCGUCCAGAGGGAAGAUUAAGCAUGGAGACAGUCACACAACACUGCCAUCUUUUACCCAAAUAAAUAGUCAUCACUUUACAGUCUUGUGCCAAAGCAUUAUCCAUUAGCCAGACUGCCUGAGAAAGGCAAAAGACUCCCGACAUCUGGAAAUCUUGCAGGCUUUCAAGGCUGCCUAUCUGCUUAUAAAACAAGGAUGUGUCCGUUAUAGCUUUAAGUCUGCACUCUAUGUCUAGCUCCUAAAACUAGAGUCUGCCAGGUUCCACGCUGAUGAUGCUCAUCUUCCUGGGUACAGAACAAAGACAAGAUAAGGUCAACCAUUCUUCUGCCACCCGCCAUCCUACAAGCCUUCUCCCUGUAAGGAAAUAUGUAAAUUCUAAACCUCCUGAAAACCUGUUUGGAUAACGUCAGACACAGACAUGUCUGUGACUUGUGUUUUUCCCCAACACACCCUCAAGCUCUGGCUUAAUAAAACUUGAUCAAUUGAGA
This 537-nucleotide long non-coding RNA is filed under the name Homo sapiens (human). Its description in RNAcentral is "HSALNT0309803". Lineage: Eukaryota; Metazoa; Chordata; Mammalia; Primates; Hominidae. The record is from RNAcentral.